CCUACGGGGGACAGCAGUGGGGAAUAUUGCGCAAUGGGCGAAAGCCUGACGCAGCGACGCCGCGUGAGGGAUGAAGGUCUUCGGAUUGUAAACCUCUGUCAGCAGGGAAGAACGGUCACUGUGCUAAUCAGCAGUGAAUUGACGGUACCUGCAAAGGAAGCACCGGCUAACUCCGUGCCAGCAGCCGCGGUAAUACGGAGGGUGCGAGCGUUAAUCGGAAUUACUGGGCGUAAAGCGCUCGUAGGCGGUAUGUCAAGUCAAGGGGGAAAUCCCCGCGCUCAACGUGGGAACUGCCUUUGAAACUGGCAAACUGGAGUGAGUGAGAGGAUAGUGGAAUUCCAGGUGUAGGAGUGAAAUCCGUAGAUAUCUGGAGGAACAUCGGUGGCGAAGGCGACUAUCUGGCACAUAACUGACGCUGAGGAGCGAAAGCGUGGGUAGCAAACAGGAUUAGAUACCCCUGUAGUC
RNAcentral lists this ribosomal RNA (465 nucleotides) under uncultured bacterium. Its description in RNAcentral is "partial 16S ribosomal RNA". It matches the Rfam family "Bacterial small subunit ribosomal RNA", at positions 338 to 795 of the family's 1533-position model. The record is from RNAcentral.